This 1572-nucleotide long non-coding RNA is filed under the name Homo sapiens (human). RNAcentral's name for it is "PREDICTED lncRNA (TCONS_00005033)". Lineage: Eukaryota; Metazoa; Chordata; Mammalia; Primates; Hominidae. The record is from RNAcentral.
AAGAGUAAAGUACUUCCGCUUCCUUAGGUGGAGCUGGAAAGGUGGAGGCGGAAGUGACUGAUCAAUUCAGGGGCGUGGGGUUCGUUUAGGUUUUGCCCUGUGUAUGACCUCGUUUGGAGCCAUGAAACCAGAGAACUUGAAUACAGCAAUCAACAGAUGUCACUAUUGACCUCUGAAAAUAAAGGAGGAAGAGGAGAAAGACAGUGUGGAGGUGGGAUUGGACAAAGGCAUGAUCCUUGGAGGAAAGGUUAUUUUAGGGCAAUGAUGGAAAGCACCAAGUGGAGUCUGGAGCUAGACUGAUCUGUGUUCAAUCCUGUCUUGGUUACUCAUUGGGGGGCCUCGACUUUCAUGUCUCUGUAAUGUCCCUGACAGUAUCUGCCUCACAGGGUUGCUGUGAGAGUCAAGCGAGAUGUCUGAGGAAUAGUCUUAGUGGAUUAUCCCAAACUUGACACAUUUUUUGCAAAAUGCUAUACAAAAAGAAGAUACAUGCGAUUAUGACAAGAUUCUCCACUUGGUGUGACCAGUCUCAUACAACCCAAGGCUGUGUGUCCAAAGGCAACUGUACUGAUCUUGACAAUAAUCAAAAGGUAGCCAGGUGCAUCGGGGAAAGCACUGACAUUGGAGUCAGACAGACUGAAGUUCAUAUCUGAUUCUGCUAUAUGACAACGUGUGGGCUAUGUGGCUAACUUCUCAGAGCUUCAGUUUUCUCAAGGGCAAAAUGAAAAUAAUAGAAAUAAUAGAAUCCACCUCACAGGGCUGUGGUGAGAAUUGGAGAUGAAGCACAUACAGCAUAUUACAUCAACUAAACACAUGCUAAGCACAUGACAGAAUUGCUCUGUUGAAGUUUUGCAAGGUCAAAUGACUCACUUUGUCUAAUGGAACGGGAACGAACAAUUUUUUUGUGUCACGUUUGAACAGAUACCUUUGAGAAGUUUAUGAUUCUCCAAGUUCUCUUUCUCCUACUGUGGCACCUACUGACAAGAUAAAUGUGUAGAGGUUCCUGAGUCUAGGGGUGAGUCUUGCAUAUCUGAUGAAUCCACCAGUAAAAGUACCACUGCUGAAAUCACGCAAAUAUAUUUUUUUAGACCUUAUCAACCUUGGCAUGGAAUUAGAUGAGCAAAAAGCUGAGUUGAAUUGAUGAAAAGAAUCCCAAGUCAUUAAUUACUAAUGAUGGAGCUUGUAAAGUACAGCAUCACUGGGGAAAGCAACUGACUUUCCUCAUACACAUUAUAUUUUUAUCUGAAUUUCAAUACUGCUUAAAUAUGUACUUCAUUACAGGGCACAACUAAAAUAGAAGGGCACCUGCUAAGUCAGAGCCAUAAAACAGAUCUACAGCCUGCUGGCAUGUGAAAUUUCUCUAAUUUAUAUUUUUUAUGAAACUACCCUCACAUUAUGUGGUUGGCAGCAUAAAUAAUAAAGCAUGUUACUGAAGCAAUUUUACAUUUACUGUAUUAGUAAGUAAAUGCAAUGGCCACUCUUAUUCUCAAAUAAAAACUACCCAGCCUUUUCAUGAAAGAUGUUUGCAAUUUCCAUUGGCCUGUAUAUGCAAUAAAAAGCCAUAACUCAUCAAAA